This 64-nucleotide transfer RNA is filed under the name Cavia porcellus (domestic guinea pig). It matches the Rfam family "tRNA". Rfam says of the family: Transfer RNA (tRNA) molecules are approximately 80 nucleotides in length. Their secondary structure includes four short double-helical elements and three loops (D, anti-codon, and T loops). The record is from Rfam by way of RNAcentral. Lineage: Eukaryota; Metazoa; Chordata; Mammalia; Rodentia; Caviidae.
GGGGAUUUAGCUAAGUGGUGUAAGCAUUUGCCUGGCAAGCACAAGGUUAUGAGCUUGAUCCCCA